RNAcentral lists this ribosomal RNA (856 nucleotides) under Phytopseudomonas argentinensis. Its description in RNAcentral is "bacterial SSU rRNA". It matches the Rfam family "Bacterial small subunit ribosomal RNA", at positions 97 to 949 of the family's 1533-position model. The record is from RNAcentral. Lineage: Bacteria; Pseudomonadati; Pseudomonadota; Gammaproteobacteria; Pseudomonadales; Pseudomonadaceae.
GGCGGACGGGUGAGUAAUGCCUAGGAAUCUGCCUAUUAGUGGGGGACAACGUUUCGAAAGGAACGCUAAUACCGCAUACGUCCUAUGGGAGAAAGCAGGGGACCUUCGGGCCUUGCGCUAAUAGAUGAGCCUAGGUCGGAUUAGCUAGUUGGUGAGGUAAUGGCUCACCAAGGCGACGAUCCGUAACUGGUCUGAGAGGAUGAUCAGUCACACUGGAACUGAGACACGGUCCAGACUCCUACGGGAGGCAGCAGUGGGGAAUAUUGGACAAUGGGCGAAAGCCUGAUCCAGCCAUGCCGCGUGUGUGAAGAAGGUCUUCGGAUUGUAAAGCACUUUAAGUUGGGAGGAAGGGUUGUAGAUUAAUACUCUGCAAUUUUGACGUUACCGACAGAAUAAGCACCGGCUAACUCUGUGCCAGCAGCCGCGGUAAUACAGAGGGUGCAAGCGUUAAUCGGAAUUACUGGGCGUAAAGCGCGCGUAGGUGGUUCGUUAAGUUGGAUGUGAAAUCCCCGGGCUCAACCUGGGAACUGCAUUCAAAACUGUCGAGCUAGAGUAUGGUAGAGGGUGGUGGAAUUUCCUGUGUAGCGGUGAAAUGCGUAGAUAUAGGAAGGAACACCAGUGGCGAAGGCGACCACCUGGACUGAUACUGACACUGAGGUGCGAAAGCGUGGGGAGCAAACAGGAUUAGAUACCCUGGUAGUCCACGCCGUAAACGAUGUCGACUAGCCGUUGGGGUCCUUGAGACUUUAGUGGCGCAGCUAACGCAUUAAGUCGACCGCCUGGGGAGUACGGCCGCAAGGUUAAAACUCAAAUGAAUUGACGGGGGCCCGCACAAGCGGUGGAGCAUGUGGUUUAA